Molecule: ribosomal RNA, 492 nt
Filed under: uncultured bacterium
Lineage: Bacteria
Description: partial 16S ribosomal RNA
Rfam family: Bacterial small subunit ribosomal RNA
Source: RNAcentral
AGUGAACGCUGGCGGUAUGCCUAACACAUGCAAGUCGAACGGCAGCACAGUAAGAGCUUGCUCUUACGGGUGGCGAGUGGCGGACGGGUGAGGAAUACAUCGGAAUCUACUUUUUCGUGGGGGAUAACGUAGGGAAACUUACGCUAAUACCGCAUACGACCUACGGGUGAAAGCAGGGGAUCUUCGGACCUUGCGCGAUUGAAUGAGCCGAUGUCGGAUUAGCUAGUUGGGGGGGUAAAGGCCCACCAAGGCGACGAUCCGUAGCUGGUCUGAGAGGAUGAUCGGCCACACUGGAACUGAGACACGGUCCAGACUCCUACGGGAGGCAGCAGUGGGGAAUAUUGGACAAUGGGCGCAAGCCUGAUCCAGCCAUACCGCGUGGGUGAAGAAGGCCUUCGGGUUGUAAAGCCCUUUUGUUGGGAAAGAAAAGCAGCAGGUUAAUACCCCGCUGUUCUGACGGUACCCAAAGAAUAAGCACCGGCUAACUUCGUG